RNAcentral lists this ribosomal RNA (253 nucleotides) under uncultured bacterium. RNAcentral describes it as "partial 16S ribosomal RNA". It matches the Rfam family "Bacterial small subunit ribosomal RNA", at positions 524 to 776 of the family's 1533-position model. The record is from RNAcentral.
UACGGAGGGUGCAAGCGUUAUCCGGAUUUACUGGGUUUAAAGGGUGCGUAGGUGGGUUGGGAAGUCAGUGGUGAAAUACUUUCGCUUAACGAAGGAACUGCCAUUGAUACUAUCAAUCUUGAAUGUAGUGGAGGUAGGCGGAAUGCGUCAUGUAGCGGUGAAAUGCUUAGAUAUGACAUAGAACACCGAUAGCGAAGGCAGCUUGCUACACAAUUAUUGACACUGAGGCUCGAAAGCGUGGGGAUCAAACAGG